This 1150-nucleotide long non-coding RNA is filed under the name Mytilus galloprovincialis (Mediterranean mussel). Lineage: Eukaryota; Metazoa; Mollusca; Bivalvia; Mytilida; Mytilidae. The record is from RNAcentral.
CUUCUUUCACACUGAUUCCAAAAAUAUAUAGUUUCUAUAUACUUUUGUAUUUAGAAUGGGAGAUACAUGGUCACUUCCGGUUUGUUGGAAGUCAUUUUUAGUCUUCAGUAAUCAGUUUAUGUAUCUAUAUGACAAAAUAUAUGGAUUUUGAGUACUUUUAUACGAAAAAAUUGCAAAGAAGGUUACUUCCGGUUUUCUCAAGGUCACUUCCGGUAGUCAUUUUUCAAGGUCAUUUGUCAUCCAACUUUUGCACAAGGUCAAAUGCCAUUAAAAUGGACUUAGUUGAAGUUAUAAUCAAAUAACCUCAUAUCAAGACAUUUCAGGGGCACUAACUCCUAUUAGAUGCUAUUUAAUUGUAUCAGACCAAAUGUAAAAUAUCUUCAUAACUAUAUAGCAAUCAUUUUGCACUUGUUCUUUAAUAUAUACCUUUUCAAGGGUUGGAGAAAAUGCAAAAACAUGGAAAAUUCCGAAUUUAGAACUUGACCUUGACCUUUGACCUUGACCCCAUUUUCUAAUAAAGGGCCUAGGGAUCUCAAAUAAAUACAUUCCAGGGUUAUAUGGUUGACGGUUUAUUAGUUAAUAACACAUAUUGAGAAAAUAAUUUUGUAAAGGUAGAUAACUCCUAUAAAAUUUCAUCGAAUCGCUUCGAUCCAAAUAAGCCAAAUUUUCCUUAGGAUGUAACGAACAAUUUGUAAAAAGAAUUUUGUCGCUAUCUUUUUUUGUUACGAAGGAGAUGCACUCUGAUGAUAAACAGUGAAUAGGGAGAUAACUCUUACAAAGAAAAGUGUUCGGCUUAGCAGGGUGAAAUGUAAAAGCGCAUAAACUGUACGAUACAAUAUGAGAAAUAUCUAAGCGACAUAUUGCGAAACAAACAUUUGUCGCAAUAUCAAAAUUAGGCGGAAGAAAAAAAAAAAAAAAAAAAAAAAAAUAAUAAUCAGAAGAAAUACAAUAGGUCUUUCCACAGAAAGGUGGAAAGACCUAAUAAUAAUCAGAACAAAAACAAUAAGUCUUUCCACAGAAAAGUGGAAAGACUUAAUAAUAAUAAUAAAAAACCAAUUGUUCAGAGAACAAUUGAAGGUCUUUCCACCAGUAAAUAUCUAUUUUGAUAUUAAAAUAUUAAAAAUCAGUCUAAAAUUUCAGUUCCUAUGGC